RNAcentral lists this ribosomal RNA (301 nucleotides) under uncultured bacterium. RNAcentral's name for it is "partial 16S ribosomal RNA". It matches the Rfam family "Bacterial small subunit ribosomal RNA", at positions 509 to 809 of the family's 1533-position model. The record is from RNAcentral.
CAGUAGCCGCGGGAAUACGAAGGGUGCAAGCGUUACUCGGAAUUACUGGGCGUAAAGCGUGCGUAGGUGGUGGUUUAAGUCCGUUGUGAAAGCCCUGGGCUCAACCUGGGAAUUGCAGUGGAUACUGGGUCACUAGAGUGUGGUAGAGGAUAGUGGAAUUUCCGGUGUAGCAGUGAAAUGCGUAGAGAUCGGAAGGAACAUCUGUGGCGAAGGCGACUAUCUGGGCCAACACUGACACUGAGGCACGAAAGCGUGGGGAGCAAACAGGAUUAGAUACCCCCGUAGUCCCUGUCUCUUAUAU